CCCUUAGAUGUUCUGGGCUGCACGCGCGCUACACUGAACAGUUCAACAAGUCUUAACCUUGGCCGAUAGGUCUGGGUAAUCUUUGAACGCUGUUCGUGAUUGGGAUAGACCUUUGCAAUUAUGGGUCUUCAACGAGGAAUUCCUAGUAAACGCAAGUCAUCAGCUUGCAUUGAUUACGUCCCUGCCCUUUGUACACACCGCCCGUCGCACCAACCGAUUGAAUGGUCCGGUGAAAUCUCGGGACGGCGGCUUGGUCGCUUGCGUCCGACUGCUGAAACUUGAUUAAACCAUAUCAUUUAGAGGAAGGUGAAGUCGUANCA
RNAcentral lists this ribosomal RNA (320 nucleotides) under uncultured eukaryote. RNAcentral's name for it is "partial 18S ribosomal RNA". It matches the Rfam family "Eukaryotic small subunit ribosomal RNA", at positions 1470 to 1796 of the family's 1831-position model. The record is from RNAcentral.